AGAAAGAAUGCAAGAACUGCUAAUUCAUGCCCUCCGUAUUUACCUAUGCGGCUUUCUU
This 58-nucleotide transfer RNA is filed under the name Tamias sibiricus (Siberian chipmunk). RNAcentral describes it as "tRNA-Ser". Lineage: Eukaryota; Metazoa; Chordata; Mammalia; Rodentia; Sciuridae. The record is from RNAcentral.